AAAGACUUGUCCAAUGGGUGCACAUUGUGUGAGCAUAAAAGGAGUGACGGAGUCAACUAGGGGAAAGACAGAGAGAAGAGAGCCGAGUAUCUGAAGGGGGUUUACCCUACAACUGACCAGAGGAGCAGCCGCUUCAAGUUAGAGCAGCGACCGCUGGUGUCUUACCUAGGUGCUACUUGGAGGCGAGGAGAAGAACCAAAAUCAAGUAGACUAAUACGUAGGAGACCAGUUCCGAAGUUUGGGAUCGGUGACACCAGACCUAGCUCCGCCUAACCUCAACGUCGUGCCUGACGAGCCGCGUCACCAAGAGAGUCCGCCUCAUCCUAUGUCCGGAAACAUUAGCAAUAACGUCGGCCUGAAGAUGGUGACACUCUUCAACCAGCCGUUCUGACGUAACCUGCAGUUCAACAUGUAACUACCACACAGAAGCAGUCCUCAACUCAACGUACAGGCCGGCAGCAGAAAUAGUAAGUUCAUCUCAAAGAGCUCGGUUAGUAGUCCGUGUUUACAAGAUAAUUGAUUAAAACACACGGUUUCGACUACAAUGAUAGUAACUCGAACUUAGUUUUUUAUUCAGAAAAAGGUGUCCGAAGUAGACGCACUCGUUAGGUUGCUGUAGACAUAUAAACCUCUAAUUAAUGUACCGACUAUGUUUAUAAUUAUCAAGUUUCGGUAUCCAUGUUGAUAUUGUAUGGACGCGUAACAUAUAUAAAAAGACGCGCAAGAACAUCACAAAGGAACCAACACUUUGACUUCAUUUUUAGACCCCUUUGGAGACGCCUAGGAAAUUGGAGGAAAUGGAAACACAACAUACGUUUUUUAUAAAUAAAAGUAACGAGCAACCUGCUGUGAAACAUCUAAGG
RNAcentral lists this ribosomal RNA (863 nucleotides) under Triticum aestivum (bread wheat). RNAcentral's name for it is "partial small subunit ribosomal RNA". Lineage: Eukaryota; Viridiplantae; Streptophyta; Magnoliopsida; Poales; Poaceae. The record is from RNAcentral.